Molecule: transfer RNA, 61 nt
Filed under: Proasellus karamani
Lineage: Eukaryota; Metazoa; Arthropoda; Malacostraca; Isopoda; Asellidae
Description: transfert RNA-K(AAA)
Source: RNAcentral
AACUAAAUGGCCGAUAAAAGCGUAGAAUUUUUAAUUCUUGUAUGAACUUGUUUCUUUAGUU